This 293-nucleotide ribosomal RNA is filed under the name uncultured bacterium. RNAcentral's name for it is "partial 16S ribosomal RNA". It matches the Rfam family "Bacterial small subunit ribosomal RNA", at positions 505 to 796 of the family's 1533-position model. The record is from RNAcentral.
GUGCCAGCAGCCGCGGUAAUACGAAGGGGGCUAGCGUUGCUCGGAAUCACUGGGCGUAAAGCGCACGUAGGCGGGUCGUUAAGUCGGGGGUGAAAUCCUGGAGCUCAACUCCAGAACUGCCUUCGAUACUGGCGAUCUUGGAGUCCGGGAGAGGUGGGUGGAACUGCGAGUGUAGAGGUGAAAUUCGUAGAUAUUCGCAAGAACACCAGUGGCGAAGGCGGCUCACUGGCCCGGUACUGACGCUGAGGUGCGAAAGCGUGGGGAGCAAACAGGAUUAGAUACCCCUGUAGUCC